Molecule: long non-coding RNA, 283 nt
Organism: Hyalella azteca
Lineage: Eukaryota; Metazoa; Arthropoda; Malacostraca; Amphipoda; Hyalellidae
Exons: 3
Source: RefSeq, a predicted model, not a curated record
AAAGCUUCAGUUCAGUUAGGAAAUGCCAAGACAUUCCGCAGGUCCCUCGGCGCUGAACCCAUCAACAAGCCAUUCCCUGACUGCGCUCACCUGGAGUAUCAGUCAGACGACUACUGGAGAUGCCACAUCCGUGGCAUGGCGGGUGUGAUGGCGCACAUCAGCGGCACCUGCAAGAUGGCUCCAGACUCCGACCCCAUGGGGGUGGUGACCCCGCGGCUUAAGGUUCGCGGCGUCAAGAAUUUGCGUAUCAUGGAUUCGUCUGUGAUGCCUCAAAUAGUUUCAG